UACGUAGGGGGCAAGCGUUGUCCGGAAUCACUGGGCGUAAAGCGUGCGUAGGCGGUCUUUCAAGUCCGGGGUGAAAACUCAAGGCUCAACCUUGAGAAUGCCUUGGAAACUGGGGGACUUGAGUACUGGAGAGGCAAGGGGAAUUCCACGUGUAGCGGUGAAAUGCGUAGAGAUGUGGAGGAAUACCAGUGGCGAAGGCGCCUUGCUGGACAGUGACUGACGCUGAGGCACGAAAGCGUGGGGAGCAAACAGG
This 253-nucleotide ribosomal RNA is filed under the name uncultured bacterium. RNAcentral's name for it is "partial 16S ribosomal RNA". It matches the Rfam family "Bacterial small subunit ribosomal RNA", at positions 524 to 776 of the family's 1533-position model. The record is from RNAcentral.